UACGUAGGAUGCGAGCGUUAUCCGGAUUUAUUGGGUUUAAAGGGUGCGUAGGCGGAUCGUUAAGUCAGUGGUCAAAUUGAGGGGCUCAACCCCUUCCCGCCAUUGAAACUGGCGCUCUUGAGUGGAAGAGAAGUAUGCGGAAUGCGUGGUGUAGCGGUGAAAUGCAUAGAUAUCACGCAGAACCCCGAUUGCGAAGGCAGCAUGCCGGCUCCCGACUGACGCUGAAGCACGAAAGCGUGGGGAUCGAACAGG
RNAcentral lists this ribosomal RNA (252 nucleotides) under uncultured bacterium. Its description in RNAcentral is "partial 16S ribosomal RNA". It matches the Rfam family "Bacterial small subunit ribosomal RNA", at positions 524 to 776 of the family's 1533-position model. The record is from RNAcentral.